Molecule: ribosomal RNA, 406 nt
Filed under: uncultured bacterium
Lineage: Bacteria
Description: bacterial SSU rRNA
Rfam family: Bacterial small subunit ribosomal RNA
Source: RNAcentral
GUGGGGGAUAUUGCACAAUGGGGGAAACCCUGAUGCAGCGACGCCGCGUGGAGGAAGACGGCCUUCGGGUUGUAAACUCCUGUCUUCAGGGACGAAACUGACGGUACCUGAGGAGGAAGCACCGGCUAACUACGUGCCAGCAGCCGCGGUAAUACGUAGGGUGCAAGCGUUGUCCGGAAUUACUGGGUGUAAAGGGAGCGUAGGCGGGUCAGCAAGUUGGAUGUGAAAUGUACCGGCUCAACUGGUAAACUGCAUUCAAAACUGUUGGUCUUGAGUGAAGUAGAGGCAGGCGGAAUUCCUAGUGUAGCGGUGAAAUGCGUAGAUAUUAGGAGGAACACCAGUGGCGAAGGCGGCCUGCUGGGCUUUUACUGACGCUGAGGCUCGAAAGCAUGGGGAGCAAACAGGA